UUAAAUUUUAUUAAUGCACUUAUUUUAUUUUUAAUAUAUUUCACAUUUUCUUAAUACAUUUCACAUUUUUUGUAUCAAGAUCAUGAAGAAGUUGAAAGGACUUUUAAAGUUCGUUUUGCUUUGGUGACAAAGUCUUCUAAUAACAACUCUGUUGUUGUGGAACCCGAAGCAAAAUCGAAAUCGAUAUCAAAAUUGCCUUCUGGUGAUACCAAGGUUGUUGCUAUGAAUAAUCAUGGCAAGAGCAGUAUUUGAAUUGGAGAAAUUAUGAAUUUAUGUAUAAUUUAUGCCUCAACGGAACCUUGACAGUAGGGGUGUUCGAAUUCAAACCGAUACAAAUAAAAACCA
RNAcentral lists this long non-coding RNA (345 nucleotides) under Lathyrus oleraceus (garden pea). RNAcentral describes it as "Pisum sativum (pea) long non-coding RNA (PSAT_LNC003685)". Lineage: Eukaryota; Viridiplantae; Streptophyta; Magnoliopsida; Fabales; Fabaceae. The record is from RNAcentral.